UCCCUGGUAUCUCAGUAGGUAAAGAAUCUGCCUGCAAAGCAGGAGACCCACGUUUGAUCCCUGGGUUGGGAU
Molecule: transfer RNA, 72 nt
Filed under: Bos taurus (domestic cattle)
Lineage: Eukaryota; Metazoa; Chordata; Mammalia; Artiodactyla; Bovidae
Also listed under: 5 other names
Rfam family: tRNA
About the family: Transfer RNA (tRNA) molecules are approximately 80 nucleotides in length. Their secondary structure includes four short double-helical elements and three loops (D, anti-codon, and T loops).
Source: Rfam by way of RNAcentral